Molecule: ribosomal RNA, 400 nt
Filed under: Altererythrobacter insulae
Lineage: Bacteria; Pseudomonadati; Pseudomonadota; Alphaproteobacteria; Sphingomonadales; Erythrobacteraceae
Description: bacterial SSU rRNA
Rfam family: Bacterial small subunit ribosomal RNA
Source: RNAcentral
UUUUAUGAGAGUUUGAUCCUGGCUCAGGACGAACGCUGGCGGCGUGCCUAAUACAUGCAAGUCGUACGCUUCUUUUUCCACCGGAGCUUGCUCCACCGGAAAAAGAAGAGUGGCGAACGGGUGAGUAACACGUGGGUAACCUGCCCAUCAGAAGGGGAUAACACUUGGAAACAGGUGCUAAUACCGUAUAACAAUCGAAACCGCAUGGUUUUGAUUUGAAAGGCGCUUUCGGGUGUCGCUGAUGGAUGGACCCGCGGUGCAUUAGCUAGUUGGUGAGGUAACGGCUCACCAAGGCCACGAUGCAUAGCCGACCUGAGAGGGUGAUCGGCCACAUUGGGACUGAGACACGGCCCAAACUCCUACGGGAGGCAGCAGUAGGGAAUCUUCGGCAAUGGACGAA